UGGAAGUUUCCACAGAAGCCUUCCCAGGGC
This 30-nucleotide non-coding RNA is filed under the name Homo sapiens (human). The record is from RNAcentral. Lineage: Eukaryota; Metazoa; Chordata; Mammalia; Primates; Hominidae.